This 27-nucleotide small RNA is filed under the name Bombyx mori (domestic silkworm). RNAcentral's name for it is "ovarian small RNA-37625". Lineage: Eukaryota; Metazoa; Arthropoda; Insecta; Lepidoptera; Bombycidae. The record is from RNAcentral.
UUGAAGCAGCAAAAGACACGUUUUGGG